This 494-nucleotide ribosomal RNA is filed under the name uncultured bacterium. Its description in RNAcentral is "bacterial SSU rRNA". It matches the Rfam family "Bacterial small subunit ribosomal RNA", at positions 322 to 807 of the family's 1533-position model. The record is from RNAcentral.
AGACACGGCCCAGACUCCUACGGGAGGCAGCAGUAGGGAAUCUUCCGCAAUGGACGAAAGUCUGACGGAGCAACGCCGCGUGAACGAUGAAGGCCUUCGGGUCGUAAAGUUCUGUUGUUAGGGAAGAAUAAGUACCAGAGUAACUGCUGGUACCUUGACGGUACCUAACCAGAAAGCCACGGCUAACUACGUGCCAGCAGCCGCGGUAAUACGUAGGUGGCAAGCGUUGUCCGGAAUUAUUGGGCGUAAAGCGCGCGCAGGGCGGUUUCUUAAGUCUGAUGUGAAAGCCCACGGCUCAACCGUGGAGGGUCAUUGGAAACUGGGGAACUUGAGUGCAGAAGAGGAGAGUGGAAUUCCACGUGUAGCGGUGAAAUGCGUAGAGAUGUGGAGGAACACCAGUGGCGAAGGCGACUCUCUGGUCUGUAACUGACGCUGAGGCGCGAAAGCGUGGGGAGCGAACAGGAUUAGAUACCCUGGUAGUCCACGCCGUAAAC